This 274-nucleotide ribosomal RNA is filed under the name uncultured bacterium. RNAcentral's name for it is "partial 16S ribosomal RNA". It matches the Rfam family "Bacterial small subunit ribosomal RNA", at positions 523 to 796 of the family's 1533-position model. The record is from RNAcentral.
AUACAGAGGGUGCGAGCGUUAAUCGGAAUUACUGGGCGUAAAGCGCGCGUAGGCGGCUACUUAAGUCAGAUGUGAAAUCCCCGGGCUCAACCUGGGAACUGCAUCUGAUACUGGGUAGCUAGAGUUUAGGAGAGGGAAGUAGAAUUACAGGUGUAGCGGUGAAAUGCAUAGAGAUCUGAAGGAAUACCAGUGGCGAAGGCGGCUUCCUGGCCUAAAACUGACGCUGAGGUGCGAAAGCGUGGGUAGCAAACGGGAUUAGAAACCCCGGUAGUCC